RNAcentral lists this ribosomal RNA (835 nucleotides) under uncultured bacterium. RNAcentral's name for it is "bacterial SSU rRNA". It matches the Rfam family "Bacterial small subunit ribosomal RNA", at positions 97 to 928 of the family's 1533-position model. The record is from RNAcentral.
GGCGGACGGGUGAGUAAUGCCUAGGAAUCUGCCUGGUAGUGGGGGACAACGUUUCGAAAGGGACGCUAAUACCGCAUACGUCCUACGGGAGAAAGCAGGGGACCUUCGGGCCUUGCGCUAUCAGAUGAGCCUAGGUCGGAUUAGCUAGUUGGUGAGGUAAUGGCUCACCAAGGCGACGAUCCGUAACUGGUCUGAGAGGAUGAUCAGUCACACUGGAACUGAGACACGGUCCAGACUCCUACGGGAGGCAGCAGUGGGGAAUAUUGGACAAUGGGCGAAAGCCUGAUCCAGCCAUGCCGCGUGUGUGAAGAAGGUCUUCGGAUUGUAAAGCACUUUAAGUUGGGAGGAAGGGCAUUAACCUAAUACGUUAGUGUUUUGACGUUACCGACAGAAUAAGCACCGGCUAACUCUGUGCCAGCAGCCGCGGUAAUACAGAGGGUGCAAGCGUUAAUCGGAAUUACUGGGCGUAAAGCGCGCGUAGGUGGUUUGUUAAGUUGGAUGUGAAAGCCCCGGGCUCAACCUGGGAACUGCAUCCAAAACUGGCAAGCUAGAGUACGGUAGAGGGUGGUGGAAUUUCCUGUGUAGCGGUGAAAUGCGUAGAUAUAGGAAGGAACACCAGUGGCGAAGGCGACCACCUGGACUGAUACUGACACUGAGGUGCGAAAGCGUGGGGAGCAAACAGGAUUAGAUACCCUGGUAGUCCACGCCGUANACGAUGUCAACUAGCCGUUGGAAUCCUUGAGAUUUUAGUGGCGCAGCUAACGCAUUAAGUUGACCGCCUGGGGAGUACGGCCGCAAGGUUAAAACUCAAAUGAAUUGACGGGGGCCCGCACAA